UGUCUACUUGGCGAAAUUUGGCAUACGCCGGGAAAUUUAAAAUUUCUUACCGAGAGGUACUGGUUCAAGUCCAGUAGUAGACAC
This 84-nucleotide transfer RNA is filed under the name Allomyces macrogynus. Its description in RNAcentral is "tRNA-Leu". It matches the Rfam family "tRNA". Rfam says of the family: Transfer RNA (tRNA) molecules are approximately 80 nucleotides in length. Their secondary structure includes four short double-helical elements and three loops (D, anti-codon, and T loops). The record is from RNAcentral. Lineage: Eukaryota; Fungi; Blastocladiomycota; Blastocladiomycetes; Blastocladiales; Blastocladiaceae.